GACGAACGCUGGCGGCGUGCUUAACACAUGCAAGUCGAACGGAAAGGCCCUGCUUUUGUGGGGUGCUCGAGUGGCGAACGGGUGAGUAACACGUGAGUAACCUGCCCUUGACUUUGGGAUAACUUCAGGAAACUGGGGCUAAUACCGGAUAGGAGCUCCUGCUGCAUGGUGGGGGUUGGAAAGUUUCGGCGGUUGGGGAUGGACUCGCGGCUUAUCAGCUUGUUGGUGGGGUAGUGGCUUACCAAGGCUUUGACGGGUAGCCGGCCUGAGAGGGUGACCGGCCACAUUGGGACUGAGAUACGGCCCAGACUCCUACGGGAGGCAGCAGUGGGGAAUAUUGAACAAUGGGCGGAAGCCUGAUGCAGAAACGCCGCGUGCGGGAUGACGGCCUUCGGGUUGUAAACCGCUUUCGCCUGUGACGAAGCGUGAGUGACGGUAAUGGGUAAAGAAGCACCGGCUAACUACGUG
Molecule: ribosomal RNA, 468 nt
Filed under: uncultured bacterium
Lineage: Bacteria
Description: partial 16S ribosomal RNA
Rfam family: Bacterial small subunit ribosomal RNA
Source: RNAcentral